This 65-nucleotide transfer RNA is filed under the name Rhyncholestes raphanurus (Chilean shrew opossum). Its description in RNAcentral is "transfer RNA-Cys". The record is from RNAcentral. Lineage: Eukaryota; Metazoa; Chordata; Mammalia; Paucituberculata; Caenolestidae.
GGCUUUGAAGUAUGAAUUACGUUGAAUUGCAAAUUCAAAAAAGUAGCUCGCAGCUGCCGAGGCCU